RNAcentral lists this ribosomal RNA (1349 nucleotides) under uncultured bacterium. RNAcentral's name for it is "partial 16S ribosomal RNA". It matches the Rfam family "Bacterial small subunit ribosomal RNA", at positions 45 to 1399 of the family's 1533-position model. The record is from RNAcentral.
UGCCUAACACAUGCAAGUCGAACGGGGAUACUUUAGUAGUAAUACCGAGGUAUUCUAGUGGCGGACGGGUGAGUAACGCGUGAGCAACCUGCCUUUCAGAGGGGGACAACAGCUGGAAACGGCUGCUAAUACCGCAUAAUAUAUUUGGACGGCAUCGUCUGAAUAUCAAAGAUUUAUCGCUGAAAGAUGGGCUCGCGUCUGAUUAGCUAGUUGGUGGGGUAAGAGCCUACCAAGGCGACGAUCAGUAGCCGGACUGAGAGGUUGAACGGCCACAUUGGGACUGAGAUACGGCCCACACUCCUACGGGAGGCAGCAGUGGGGAAUAUUGGUCAAUGGGGGAAACCCUGAACCAGCAACGCCGCGUGAAGGAAGAAGGCUUUCGGGUUGUAAACUUCUUUGACAGGGGAAGAAAAAAAUGACUGUACCCUGAAAACAAGCCACGGCUAACUACGUGCCAGCAGCCGCGGUAAUACGUAGGUGGCAAGCGUUAUCCGGAUUUACUGGGUGUAAAGGGCGCGUAGGCGGGCAUGCAAGUCAGAUGUGAAAUCUAUGGGCUUAACCCAUAGCGUGCAUUUGAAACUGUGUGUCUUGAGUGAUGGAGAGGUAAGUGGAAUUCCUAGUGUAGCGGUGGAAUGCGUAGAUAUUAGGAGGAACACCAGUGGCGAAGGCGACUUACUGGACAUUAACUGACGCUGAGGCGCGAAAGCGUGGGGAGCAAACAGAGAUUAGAUACCCUGGUAGUCCACGCUGUAAACGAUCAUAAUGGAUGUGGGGGGACUGACCCCUUCCGUGCCGCAGUUACCACAAUAAGUAUUCCACCUGGGGAGUACGAUCGCAAGGUUGAAACUCAAAGGAAUUGACGGGGGCCCGCACAAGCAGUGGAUUAUGUGGUUUAAUUUGAAGCAACGCGAAGAACCUUACCAGGGCUUGACAUCCAACUAACGAAGCAGAGAUGCAUUAGGUACCCUUCGGGGGAAGUUGAGACAGGUGGUGCAUGGUUGUCGUCAGCUCGUGUCGUGAGAUGUUGGGUUAAGUGCCAUAACGAGCGCAACCCUUGUCAUUAGUUGCCAUCAGGUCAAGCUGGGGACUUUAAUGAGACUGCCACCGUAAGGUGUGAGGAAGGGGGGGAUGACGUCAAAUCAGCACGGCCCUUAUGUCCGGGGCGACACACGUGUUACAAUGGGAGGUACAGAGGGCAGCUAUCCGGUGACGGAAUGCUAAUCUCCAAAACCUUUCUCAGUUCGGAUUGGAGUCUGCAACUCAACUCCAUGAAGGUGGAUUCGCUAGUAAUCGCGCAUCAGCCAUGGCGCGGUGAAUACGUUCCCGGGCCUUGUACACACCGCCCGUCA